UUGAUCCUGGCUCASSAUGAACGCUGGCGGCGUGCUUAACACAUGCAAGUCGAACGAUGAUGCCAGCUUGCUGGUGGAUUAGUGGCGAACGGGUGAGUAACACGUGAGUAACCUGCCCUUAACUYUGGGAUAAGCCUGGGAAACUGGGUCUAAUACCGGAUAUGACUYCUCAUCGCAUGGUGGGGGGUGGAAAGCUUUUUUGUGGUUUUGGAUGGACUCGCGGCCUAUCAGCUUGUUGGUGAGGUAAUGGCUUACCAAGGCGACGACGGGUAGCCGGCCUGAGAGGGUGACCGGCCACACUGGGACUGAGACACGGCCCAGACUCCUACGGGAGGCAGCAGUGGGGAAUAUUGCACAAUGGGCGCAAGCCUGAUGCAGCGACGCCGCGUGAGGGAUGACGGCCUUCGGGUUGUAAACCUCUUUCAGUAGGGAAGAAGCGAGAGUGACGGUACCUGCAGAAGAAGCGCCGGCUAACUACGUGCCAGCAGCCGCGGUAAUACGUAGGGCGCAAGCGUUAUCCGGAAUUAUUGGGCGUAAAGAGCUCGUAGGCGGUUUGUCGCGUCUGCCGUGAAAGUCCGGGGCUCAACUCCGGAUCUGCGGUGGGUACGGGCAGACUAGAGUGAUGUAGGGGAGACUGGAAUUCCUGGUGUAGCGGUGAAAUGCGCAGAUAUCAGGAGGAACACCGAUGGCGAAGGCAGGUCUCUGGGCAUUAACUGACGCUGAGGAGCGAAAGCAUGGGGAGCGAACAGGAUUAGAUACCCUGGUAGUCCAUGCCGUAAACGUUGGGCACUAGGUGUGGGGGACAUUCCACGUUUUCCGCGCCGUAGCUAACGCAUUAAGUGCCCCGCCUGGGGAGUACGGCCGCAAGGCUAAAACUCAAAGGAAUUGACGGGGGCCCGCACAAGCGGCGGAGCAUGCGGAUUAAUUCGAUGCAACGCGAAGAACCUUACCAAGGCUUGACAUGAACCGGUAAUACCUGGAGACAGGUGCCCCGCUUGCGGCCGGUUUACAGGUGGUGCAUGGUUGUCGUCAGCUCGUGUCGUGAGAUGUUGGGUUAAGUCCCGCAACGAGCGCAACCCUCGUUCUAUGUUGCCAGCACGUGAUGGUGGGGACUCAUAGGSAGACUGCCGGGGUCAACUCGGAGGAAGGUGGRGACGACGUCMAAUCAUCAUGCCCCUUAUGUCUUGGGCUUCACGCAUGCUACAWU
RNAcentral lists this ribosomal RNA (1207 nucleotides) under Pseudarthrobacter sp. RNAcentral's name for it is "bacterial SSU rRNA". Lineage: Bacteria; Bacillati; Actinomycetota; Actinomycetes; Micrococcales; Micrococcaceae. The record is from RNAcentral.